Molecule: non-coding RNA, 683 nt
Organism: Sphaeramia orbicularis (orbiculate cardinalfish)
Lineage: Eukaryota; Metazoa; Chordata; Actinopteri; Kurtiformes; Apogonidae
Source: the annotation of a RefSeq genome assembly
AUGACUCUCAGCUCCAUCCUCAUGUGGACCCUGGUCAGCUGCUGUUUCACAGGAUGCAGCGGUCAGGUGACUGUGACUCAGCCUGCAGUAGUGACAUCUAGUCCAGGAUCCACGGUCACUCUGACAUGUAAGACUAACCAACCUGUUCAUACAUGGGGUGAGGGGAACGAGGAUAUGUUCUGGUAUCUUCAGAAAUCUGGGCAGAACCCAAAGCUCUUAAUAAGACAUAUCAGCACACACCUUUCAGGAACACCAGGUCGUUUCAGCGGCGGUGGCAGCAAAACGGAUUUCUCUUUGACCAUCAGUACAGUUCAGGCUGAAGAUGCAGGAGUUUAUCACUGUAUGAACAGGCACAGUGGUGGUGUGUUCACACAGUGAUUUAGAGUCGUACAAAAACCUCUGAUGCAGAGACACUGAACAGGAAGCUGUUACAGAGGAAGAGAUUCUAUCACAGACUUCUGAACACAGAGCUCACACUAACCUCAACAAACACAAAGUGUGUAAGAAACAAAGGAACAAAUGCUCCCAUUAUGAGAACACUCUAGUACUAAACGUUACUCUGUGGAUGUCGUCUUCUGAAAACUAGUCCAUGCAUUCAUCUUCAGUCGGCUCGAUUAUUGCAACAGUGUCUUUACAGGUCGACCUAAAAAAUCCAUUAGACAACUGCAGCUCAUUCAGAACUC